CAUCUCAGCAAGUAAUUUUGUCUUGUAUUGAAGACCCAAUCUGUAAUUUUUUAAACAUAUAAAGUGCAGCAGGGGGGAAAAGGAGGACAGAAUCAGUCAUUUCCAGCCGUGUAGAAAUGAAAUGAGGAGGAAAUUGGAGCGGGGUCAGCGCUGAGCGUCGACGGCCUCACUGUCAUUCUCGCCUGGGAAUGUUCACCUCGACAAUAAGUGAGCCACAUCGCAGGAAGAUUCGAAUAUAUUUUAACAAUGCGGGGACUCUGUUGGCAGGUAAGGUAGUGGAGGAAAUGGCAGGAAACAUUUGGUUUGGUUUGGCAAUGAAUCGCUGACAGGUGGCAGGAAAGUGGUGCCAUGUCACUUGAGUCACAUUAUCCAGCCUAAAACAAAGCACUUCAGUGGAUCUAUUCCGCUUUACAUGCUGCCUGUCAACAUUGUAUUCAUACAGUAUUAUUCCCAUUGAAUGUGUAAUGGCUGUACAAUAAAAAAUAUGCCUUUUUUGUUAAUGGCAACACAAAAUAUUGAUUUAUGGAUGAUGAUAAACCCACAGUGGUGUCUGAAUAUCCCCACUGUGUUUACUGGAGACUCUCCUGCUACUUAUAGAAACACAUUUCACCACACACUACCUGAGAGUUUGAAUUAAAUCUGAUACAAGUUUGACAUUUCUCUCAGGCUUUGGAUUGACUGCAACAUUUGAGAAUAUAGGGCAAAAAAAGGCCUUGGAAUUUAAUAAGCUGCAGCAGUUUUUAUUUGCAUGAAUACCACUGGAACUGACUGGUCUUUGCCCUUAUAUUUUGUUUCUCUGCUGUUGUGCACUAAGUUUGUAUCGCUCCAUCCUCCUCUGUUUUAGAGUGGCAGUGUCAAUGUCUCAAAACGUUGUCUUCAGUUCUCUCUUCUCAACAAGCCUCUCAGCUUCUCUCCAGUCCUGUCUAUCUCUCUGUCCUCUGCCAUUUCCCAGGUUGAUUCAAGACUCUUUACAGUUAUUCUUUGUUCCUCACAGUAUGUCAUUAGGAUCUGGGUUGAAAAAGGCAACAUUUUUCCAUCUAAUUGCACAUGCUCCAGUUGCACGAACAGUACAGUCAAACAAUUCCUCGCACGGUACUUAGUGCUGAACGUUUUCAUACAAAUAAAUAUCUGUAGUAUCUUCUACUCACUACUGCUUGCAGACCAGCCUAGUCUUCCAAGGAAUUAAGUUCAUAAUGGGUGAUUCUGCAGGACAUUUACAUCCAGUGCCAACAUUCAGUGCCAGUGCAGACCGUAGUGACCUUUAGGCAGCAUGGCACUGGAGACUGUGUGUCACAUUCUGUCUCAGGCUUUUCUCAACUGCUUUGGCACAAUUCUGAAAUGAUAAUGAAUAUUUUCAAAACAGCAUGUGCAAACCUCCAAAUCUUGUUCACAAUGGAUUUGAAUUUCUCAUUCUUUUAAACAAAUUGUGAAUGUUUUAGCACAUCUAUGCAAACGCGUAAGUACAAUUGUCUACAUAAUAUACAGUAUCUUGCUGAUCAAAACUGAUUAUUUUGCUUCUCGGUUAAAUAGUUGUACUCUCCAAAACACAUAUGAUUUGUUUCAUUGUGUAAUGCACAAUAGUCCAUUCAAUUGUCAAAAUCUGUCAGGCAUAUAUAUAUCAUUGCAGUAAUAUGGAUUUUUUGUAACGUCCGCUAAAUUGGUAAAUUGGUGUAUUACAGUACAGUACAUAUACAGAAAUAUUAUAUAUUUGUGAACUCCAUACUGAGAGAGAUCCAGAGUGCAACCUUAGAGGACAACAGCAUCUUUCAAAAUACCAAUCACUAGCAUCUCUACAAUAGACAGUGUUGAAAAGAUAGACUAGACUAACAUAUUAAAAUAAACAACCCCUCUACCCCUGCACACUCUCUGCUACUAGGGUAUGGAGAGGGGGGAUGGCAGUUUAACAAGGGGGAUGGCAUUCCCCCUCAAAUCACCUACUGACUAUGUGUGCUGCAAUUUCUGAGAAUGGUGUGAGCACACAUACAACACCCAGAAAAUCCUGAUGUUCUUUAACACCCUCUACAGAGAUCUUAUCACUGAGAAUGAGAGAGGUUUGGUAAGGCAUGACUUGACAAAUUUUGUAAUUGUGUGGGAUAAUGUAAGCUUCCACCAUGCAAAUGUCAUCAGGGAAUGGUUUGCUGUCCACCAAAGGAUGUUGAUGUUGUUCCUACCACCAUAUUCUCCAUUCCUGAAUCCAACUGAAUUCUUUUCUGCAUGGAAGUGGAAGGUGCAUGCUCAUCAGUCUCAAGACCAAAUGUCUCUGCUUGCUGCAAUGGAUGCUGCUUGUGAUGACAUCACAGCAGAACAUUGCAGGGGAUGGUUGCGGCAUGCAAAAAGAUUUUCCUCCAUUGAAUCGCAAGGGAAAAUAUCAGGUGUGAUCUGUGGCCAGGACAUCCAGUGAGGUGAAGUCUUUAGUGUAGCACUCCAGCUUUACUGUGUUACAGUGUUAGGCUAUACAUUAUUUUCUUUUUUUUUGUAUUGAUGUAUUUUUGUAUUAUAUUGUGCUGUGUAAGAUUUCUUUUUACUGUGGUGUAAGACAGUUACUUUACGUAAAUAAAAAUACAGUAAC
Long non-coding RNA from Siniperca chuatsi (mandarin fish), 2569 nucleotides. RefSeq lists it as uncharacterized. The record is from RefSeq and is a predicted model, not a curated record. The transcript has 3 exons. NCBI's taxonomy places the organism in Eukaryota, Metazoa, Chordata, Actinopteri, Centrarchiformes, Sinipercidae.